Molecule: long non-coding RNA, 398 nt
Filed under: Homo sapiens (human)
Lineage: Eukaryota; Metazoa; Chordata; Mammalia; Primates; Hominidae
Description: HSALNT0216752
Source: RNAcentral
UGGACUUGCCUGGGGCAGACGCCCUGUACGACGGCAUCUUGAAUUUGGGCAUUUUGAACUUGCUGUCUUUGGCAGUCACAUCCUUGUCGGCCAGGGACAGGUCCCCCUCCAGCCGUGCACCAUCCAACUUGGCUCCUGGGGCCUCGACAUCCACCUCCAUGCCGGGCUGAGACACCUCCACGUCGGGGGCCGUCACGUCCGUCUUCGGGCCUUUCAGGUCCAGCUUGGGGCCCUUGACGUCUAUCUGGGGGCCCUUGAGAUCCACUUUGGGCAUCUUGAAACUGGGCAUCUGCACCUUGGGCAGGUGCCCUUUGAGGCCGGCUCCCUCGGGAACGUGGCCCUCUGGGAGUUUCACGUCCACCUGGCCAGCCUGGACCUCCAGUUGGGCGGAGGGGGGC